Molecule: ribosomal RNA, 759 nt
Filed under: Neisseria subflava
Lineage: Bacteria; Pseudomonadati; Pseudomonadota; Betaproteobacteria; Neisseriales; Neisseriaceae
Description: bacterial SSU rRNA
Rfam family: Bacterial small subunit ribosomal RNA
Source: RNAcentral
AUUGAACGCUGGCGGCAUGCUUUACACAUGCAAGUCGGACGGCAGCACAGAGAAGCUUGCUUCUUGGGUGGCGAGUGGCGAACGGGUGAGUAAUAUAUCGGAACGUACCGAGUAAUGGGGGAUAACUAAUCGAAAGAUUAGCUAAUACCGCAUAUUCUCUGAGGAGGACAGCAGGGGACCUUCGGGCCUUGCGUUAUUCGAGCGGCCGAUAUCUGAUUAGCUAGUUGGUGGGGUAAAGGCCUACCAAGGCGACGAUCAGUAGCGGGUCUGAGAGGAUGAUCCGCCACACUGGGACUGAGACACGGCCCAGACUCCUACGGGAGGCAGCAGUGGGGAAUUUUGGACAAUGGGCGCAAGCCUGAUCCAGCCAUGCCGCGUGUCUGAAGAAGGCCUUCGGGUUGUAAAGGACUUUUGUCAGGGAAGAAAAGGCUGUUGCUAAUACCGACAGCUGAUGACGGUACCUGAAGAAUAAGCACCGGCUAACUACGUGCCAGCAGCCGCGGUAAUACGUAGGGUGCGAGCGUUAAUCGGAAUUACUGGGCGUAAAGCGAGCGCAGACGGUUACUUAAGCAGGAUGUGAAAUCCCCGGGCUCAACCUGGGAACUGCGUUCUGAACUGGGUGACUAGAGUGUGUCAGAGGGAGGUAGAAUUCCACGUGUAGCAGUGAAAUGCGUAGAGAUGUGGAGGAAUACCGAUGGCGAAGGCAGCCUCCUGGGAUAACACUGACGUUCAUGCUCGAAAGCGUGGGUAGCAAACAGG